Molecule: ribosomal RNA, 253 nt
Filed under: uncultured bacterium
Lineage: Bacteria
Description: partial 16S ribosomal RNA
Rfam family: Bacterial small subunit ribosomal RNA
Source: RNAcentral
UACAGAGGGGGCAAGCGUUGUCCGGAAUUAUUGGGCGUAAAGAGCGUGUAGGCGGUCCGGUAAGUCCGCUGUGAAAGUCGGGGGCUCAACCCUCGAAUGCCGGUGGAUACUGUCGGGCUAGAGUGCGGAAGAGGCGAGUGGAAUUCCUGGUGUAGCGGUGAAAUGCGCAGAUAUCAGGAGGAACACCGGUGGCGAAGGCGGUUCUCUGGGCAUGAUCUGACGCUGAGGAGCGAAAGUGUGGGGAGCGAACAGG